This 429-nucleotide ribosomal RNA is filed under the name uncultured bacterium. RNAcentral describes it as "bacterial SSU rRNA". It matches the Rfam family "Bacterial small subunit ribosomal RNA", at positions 355 to 776 of the family's 1533-position model. The record is from RNAcentral.
UGGGGAAUAUUGGACAAUGGGCGCAAGCCUGAUCCAGCAAUGCCGCGUGGGUGAAGACGGCCUGCGGGUUGUAAAGCCCUUUAGGUGGGGAAGAAGGGUGAGGUUUAAAUAGAGCCUGACUUUGACAUUACCCACGGAAUAAGCACCGGCUAACUCCGUGCCAGCAGCCGCGGUAAUACGGAGGGUGCGAGCGUUAAUCGGAAUGACUGGGCGUAAAGCGUGCGUAGGCGGUGGCGUUAGUCAGCCGUGAAAGCCCUGGGCUUAACCUGGGAAUGGCGGUUGAAACGGUGUCACUGGAGUGGGUGAGAGGGCUGUGGAACUCCUGGUGUAGCGGUGAAAUGCGUAGAGAUCAGGAAGAACACCGAUGGCGAAGGCAGCGGCCUGGGGCCACACUGACGCUGAGGCACGAAAGCGUGGGGAGCAAACAGG